This 332-nucleotide long non-coding RNA is filed under the name Mytilus galloprovincialis (Mediterranean mussel). The record is from RNAcentral. Lineage: Eukaryota; Metazoa; Mollusca; Bivalvia; Mytilida; Mytilidae.
GGGGAAUGUGUCAAAGAGACAACAACCCGCCCAAAUAAAAAACAACAGCAGAGGGUCACCAACAGGUCUUCAAUGUAGCGAGAAAUUCCCGCACCCGGAGGCGUCCUUCAGCUGGCCCCUAAACAAAUAUAUACUAGUCCAGCGACAAUGAACGCCAUACCAAUUUCCAAAUUGUACACAAGAAACUAAAAUUAAAAUAAUACAAGACCAACAAAGGCCAGAGGCUCCUGACUUGGGACAGGCGCAAAAAUGCGGCGGGGUUAAACAUGUUUGUGAGAUCUCAACCCUCCCCCUAUACCUCUAACCAAUGUUGUAAAGUAAACGCAUAACAA